Molecule: ribosomal RNA, 265 nt
Filed under: uncultured bacterium
Lineage: Bacteria
Description: partial 16S ribosomal RNA
Rfam family: Bacterial small subunit ribosomal RNA
Source: RNAcentral
GUCCACGCCGUAAACGAUGGGCACUAGGUGUAGGAGGUAUUGACCCCUUCUGUGCCGAAGCUAACGCAUUAAGUGCCCCGCCUGGGGAGUACGGCCGCAAGGCUAAAACUCAAAGGAAUUGACGGGGGCCCGCACAAGCGGUGGAGCAUGUGGUUCAAUUCGACGCAACGCGAAGAACCUUACCUGGGCUUGACAUCCGCUGACCGCUACGGAACGUAGUCUUCCCCGCAAGGGGACAGCGAGACAGGUGCUGCAUGGCUGUCGU